UAAAAGGUUUUAUUCAAAACCAAAAACUGAGUUUAAAGUUGUAAUU
This is a non-coding RNA of Sorghum bicolor (sorghum), 46 nucleotides long. The record is from Rfam. Lineage: Eukaryota; Viridiplantae; Streptophyta; Magnoliopsida; Poales; Poaceae.